CAGCCGCCGCGGGAAAACGAAGGGUGCAAGCGUUACUCGGAAUUACUGGGCGUAAAGCGUGCGUAGGUGGUGGUUUAAGUCCGUUGUGAAAGCCCUGGGCUCAACCUGGGAAUUGCAGUGGAUACUGGGUCACUAGAGUGUGGUAGAGGAUAGUGGAAUUUCCGGUGUAGCAGUGAAAUGCGUAGAGAUCGGAAGGAACAUCUGUGGCGAAGGCGACUAUCUGGGCCAACACUGACACUGAGGCACGAAAGCGUGGGGAGCAAACAGGAUUAGAUACCCGCGUAGUCCCUGUCUCUUAUAA
This 301-nucleotide ribosomal RNA is filed under the name uncultured bacterium. Its description in RNAcentral is "partial 16S ribosomal RNA". It matches the Rfam family "Bacterial small subunit ribosomal RNA", at positions 509 to 809 of the family's 1533-position model. The record is from RNAcentral.